Long non-coding RNA from Neltuma alba, 176 nucleotides. RefSeq lists it as uncharacterized. The record is from RefSeq and is a predicted model, not a curated record. NCBI's taxonomy places the organism in Eukaryota, Viridiplantae, Streptophyta, Magnoliopsida, Fabales, Fabaceae. The transcript has 3 exons.
GCAGGGGAGAAGAUGCUGUGCUGAAUCUUGGUGAUCGGAGGUGAUUCAAUUGCAUGCAAACCGGUUAAACUGUCAAGGUUUUUAUAUCUGCUCAAGCCCACCAAGAAGCAGAAAGAAAGGAGAACGGUAAGGUUUGAUUUGGAGGGAUGCGGACCAGUGAAGGCUAGUAGCUAGAA